ACGGCUCAGUAACACGUCGGUAACCUACCCUCGGGAGGGGGAUAACCCCGGGAAACUGGGGCUAAUUCCCCAUAGGCCUGAGGUACUGGAAGGUCCUCAGGCCGAAAGGGACUUAUGUCCGCCCGAGGAUGGGCCGGCGGCCGAUUAGGUAGUUGGUGGGGUAAUGGCCCACCAAGCCGAAGAUCGGUACGGGCUGUGAGAGCAGGAGCCCGGAGAUGGACACUGAGACACGGGUCCAGGCCCUACGGGGCGCAGCAGGCGCGAAACCUCCGCAAUGCGGGAAACCGCGACGGGGGGACCCCGAGUGCCGUGGCAACGCCACGGCUUUUCCGGAGUGUAAAAAGCUCCGGGAAUAAGGGCUGGGCAAGGCCGGUGGCAGCCGCCGCGGUAAUACCGGCGGCCCGAGUGGUGGCCGCUAUUAUUGGGCCUAAAGCGUCCGUAGCCGGGCCCGUAAGUCCCUGGCGAAAUCCCACGGCUCAACCGUGGGGCUUGCUGGGGAUACUGCGGGUCUUGGGACCGGGAGAGGCGGGGGGUACCCCUGGGGUAGGGGUGAAAUCCUAUAAUCCCAGGGGGACCGCCAGUGGCGAAGGCGCCCCGCUGGAACGGGUCCGACGGUGAGGGACGAGGGCCAGGGGAGCAAACCGGAUUAGAUACCCGGGUAGUCCUGGCUGUAAAGGAUGCGGGCUAGGUGUCGGGUGAGCCUCGAGCUCGCCCGGUGCCGUAGGGAAGCCGUUAAGCCCGCCGCCUGGGGAGUACGGCCGCAAGGCUGAAACUUAAAGGGAAUUGGCGGGGGAG
RNAcentral lists this ribosomal RNA (795 nucleotides) under uncultured Thermococcus sp. Its description in RNAcentral is "bacterial SSU rRNA". It matches the Rfam family "Archaeal small subunit ribosomal RNA", at positions 85 to 876 of the family's 1478-position model. The record is from RNAcentral. Lineage: Archaea; Methanobacteriati; Methanobacteriota; Thermococci; Thermococcales; Thermococcaceae.